RNAcentral lists this small RNA (1292 nucleotides) under Histoplasma ohiense. RNAcentral describes it as "hypothetical lncRNA". Lineage: Eukaryota; Fungi; Ascomycota; Eurotiomycetes; Onygenales; Ajellomycetaceae. The record is from RNAcentral.
AAGCAUCGGCUCCUGGGCUCCCCCACAGGGUUUCUUCUGAUUGGGUUUCUGCAAUGUCGAUCUUGAUGGAUCUCGGCCCAAUGGCGCGCAACGCAGCGCCAGAUCAGGAGAAAAUCCUUGCCGUUGGGGCGUCGGAGGAUCAGUCACACCUAUAAUCUGCUUCCUUCCGCUGCCAGUCUGAGCUCUCAAGGACUUUGGGGAGACAGCAUGCACGUUCUUGUACUGUACAAGUACUGUACAUGCAAAUACAGAUCUGUACAGAGAGAUUGAUUCCGCUGUUAGUUGAAGCUUUUUUGUCGUCGGGUUUCUCAACCCCUCAUAGUUAAAAAGUGGGGAUUGUGAACAGCUUGAAGUUAAUGCAUCACAAACUUUAUUGUUAAUAAUUGCUUUUAUUUCAAUUAUUUUUCUUCAUAAAUAUUGAGAGCUUUGGAAAAAUUUCUCCAUAUCAAGCCUCAGGUGUAGAUAGGGUCGGUGACAACGCUGCAGAAUAUGGAGAUAUUUCAGCAAGGGCCGAAGUUGAUGGUCGUGGCACCAUUGGGUCCGUCCGCGCUGACCGCGCCCGAAUGAAGAAUCAACGGGUAUUCUGGCAUUUACCGGCUUUGAAUCGGGCCUUGAACACAAAUUACAUGGAACUUGAAAUUCUCUAUCCAGUGUCCGAGUAAAGUUCACUUGCUGCUUGUUCAGUGGGCGAUACCGUGCACCGGCACAGUACAUAUACAGUAAUAACAAAUACAUCCCGCCCCCAAGGACGUACAGUACAUCGUAGAUGCACUCUUCUCCGUGAGGAUGGCUGUGGAAUAUUGAUGCAGUAGUGGGGCAAGGAUUUCGAUACGUGCUGGAGCGGUCGCAUUCUGACCGUGCCGAGUCGAGGUUAAGAUCUGCUUCAAGCCGAAGCGGUGGUUGGCGUAUGGGUGAAAAGAUUCAUCCUUGCUCAGGAUCGGUGAGCACUAAGCAUGACGAACUAACGGACCGCUAGUGGCUCGGUAACUUAAACUAACGGUAGGGAGCUUUUUUUCAAGUGGAUGAGCUGGAUCUCGCAAGAGCUCCAAGACGCCAGGGAACAAUCUCUGCUCUUGUCUUGGCAUCAACAAUGAUGAAAACGAGACUUCAGGCAGCCUGAAGCUGCUUUGCGUAUAUUCGAGGAUGUCAGCUCUCCGCUGAACCUGACUUGUCCAGCGUAUUGACUGAUCAAUCCAAGGACAAACCUAGCAAAGCUUUGAAUCUUGCUAUUUUAGGAUGAUGCGCAAUAACUUACACAUUAUACGACUUCCUUCUUCGGAUCUUCGUUCUAG